Molecule: ribosomal RNA, 1114 nt
Filed under: Kurthia gibsonii
Lineage: Bacteria; Bacillati; Bacillota; Bacilli; Caryophanales; Caryophanaceae
Description: bacterial SSU rRNA
Rfam family: Bacterial small subunit ribosomal RNA
Source: RNAcentral
UGCAGUCGAGCGAAUGACGAGAAGCUUGCUUCUCUGAUUUAGCGGCGGACGGGUGAGUAACACGUGGGCAACCUGCCCUACAGAUCGGGAUAACUCAGGGAAACCUGGGCUAAUACCGGAUAAUCCUUCGAAUCACAUGGUUUGAAGUUGAAAGGCGCUUCGGCGUCACUGUAGGAUGGGCCCGCGGUGCAUUAGCUAGUUGGUGGGGUAACGGCCUACCAAGGCAACGAUGCAUAGCCGACCUGAGAGGGUGAUCGGCCACAUUGGGACUGAGACACGGCCCAAACUCCUACGGGAGGCAGCAGUAGGGAAUCUUCCACAAUGGACGAAAGUCUGAUGGAGCAACGCCGCGUGAGUGAUGAAGGUUUUCGGAUCGUAAAACUCUGUUGUAAGGGAAGAACAAGUACGUUAGGAAAUGAACGUACCUUGACGGUACCUUAUUAGAAAGCCACGGCUAACUACGUGCCAGCAGCCGCGGUAAUACGUAGGUGGCAAGCGUUGUCCGGAUUUAUUGGGCGUAAAGCGCGCGCAGGUGGUUUCUUAAGUCUGAUGUGAAAGCCCACGGCUCAACCGUGGAGGGUCAUUGGAAACUGGGGAACUUGAGUGCAGAAGAGGAUAGUGGAAUUCCAAGUGUAGCGGUGAAAUGCGUAGAGAUUUGGAGGAACACCAGUGGCGAAGGCGACUGUCUGGUCUGUAACUGACACUGAGGCGCGAAAGCGUGGGGAGCAAACAGGAUUAGAUACCCUGGUAGUCCACGCCGUAAACGAUGAGUGCUAAGUGUUAGGGGGUUUCCGCCCCUUAGUGCUGCAGCUAACGCAUUAAGCACUCCGCCUGGGGAGUACGACCGCAGGGUUGAAACUCAAAGGAAUUGACGGGGGCCCGCACAAGCGGUGGAGCAUGUGGGUUUAAUUCGAAGCAACGCGAAGAAACCUUACCAGGGCUUGACAUCCCCAUGACCGUCCUAGAGAUAGGAUUUUCCCUUCGGGGACAUUGGUGACAGGGGGUGGAUGGGUUGUCGUCACCUCCUGUCCUGGGAAUAUUUGGGUUAAAUCCCCGCACCAAGCGCCACCCCUUAUUCUUAAGUUGCCAUCAAUUUAAUUUGGGGCCUCUUAAG